UGCGCGAGUCACAGGUUACUCGCAAAGCUUUACGAAACCCUAAGGCGCAAUGAAAGUGAAGGUCAGGCUUCGCACUGACCGAGGCAGGAUCCGUCCGGGUGAGCGAAGCUCUUCUUCCUUUUGCGGGUGCAAACCCGCGGGGGAGCUCGGCGGCGCACUGCCGGCCCAUCUCAGCCGCUUCUCGUCGGCGAGGUGGAGCCAGAGCGCACACGUUGGGACCCGAAAGAUGGUGAACUAUGCUCGGGCAGGACGAAGCCAGAGGAAACUCUGGUGGAGGUCCGUAGCGAUUCUGACGUGCAAAUCGAUCGUCGGACCCGAGUAUAGGGGCGAAAGACUAAUCGAACCGUCUAGUAGCU
This 356-nucleotide ribosomal RNA is filed under the name Rhysida cf. immarginata JJ-2011. Its description in RNAcentral is "eukaryotic LSU rRNA". It matches the Rfam family "Eukaryotic large subunit ribosomal RNA", at positions 683 to 952 of the family's 3401-position model. Lineage: Eukaryota; Metazoa; Arthropoda; Chilopoda; Scolopendromorpha; Scolopendridae. The record is from RNAcentral.